This 565-nucleotide ribosomal RNA is filed under the name uncultured bacterium. Its description in RNAcentral is "bacterial SSU rRNA". It matches the Rfam family "Bacterial small subunit ribosomal RNA", at positions 60 to 607 of the family's 1533-position model. The record is from RNAcentral.
AGUCGAGCGAACGAUGAGAAGCUUGCUUCUCUGAUGUUAGCGGCGGACGGGUGAGUAACACGUGGGUAACCUACCUAUAAGACUGGGAUAACUCCGGGAAACCGGGGCUAAUACCGGAUAAUAUUUUGAACCGCAUGGUUCAAUAGUGAAAGACGGUUUCGGCUGUCACUUAUAGAUGGACCCGCGCCGUAUUAGCUAGUUGGUAAGGUAACGGCUUACCAAGGCGACGAUACGUAGCCGACCUGAGAGGGUGAUCGGCCACACUGGAACUGAGACACGGUCCAGACUCCUACGGGAGGCAGCAGUAGGGAAUCUUCCGCAAUGGGCGAAAGCCUGACGGAGCAACGCCGCGUGAGUGAUGAAGGUCUUCGGAUCGUAAAACUCUGUUGUUAGGGAAGAACAAAUUUGUUAGUAACUGAACAAGUCUUGACGGUACCUAACCAGAAAGCCACGGCUAACUACGUGCCAGCAGCCGCGGUAAUACGUAGGUGGCAAGCGUUAUCCGGAAUUAUUGGGCGUAAAGCGCGCGUAGGCGGUUUCUUAAGUCUGAUGUGAAAGCCCACGG